This is a long non-coding RNA of Oncorhynchus gorbuscha (pink salmon), 1950 nucleotides long. RefSeq lists it as uncharacterized. NCBI's taxonomy places the organism in Eukaryota, Metazoa, Chordata, Actinopteri, Salmoniformes, Salmonidae. The record is from RefSeq and is a predicted model, not a curated record. The transcript is spliced from 3 exons.
CUGUGUAGAGAGUAGGGUGCUGUUUCACCCUAGGUCUCUGUGUAGAGAGUAGGGUGCUGUUUCACCCUAGGUCUCUGUGUAGAGAGUAGGGUGCUGUUUCACCCUAGGUCUCUGUGUAGAGAGUAGGGUGCUGUUUCACCCUAGGUCUCUGUGUAGGGAGCUGUUUCACCCUAGGUCUCUGUGUAGGGAGCUGUUUCACCCUAGGUCUCUGUGUAGGGAGCUGUUUCACCCUAGGUCUCUGUGUAGAGAGUAGGGUGCUGUUUCACCCUAGGUCUCUGUGUAGGGAGCUGUUUCACCCUAGGUCUCUGUGUAGGGAGCUGUUUCACCCUAGGUCUCUGUGUAGAGAGUAGGGUGCUGUUUCACCCUAGGUCUCUGUGUAGGGUGCCGUUUCACCCUAGGUCUCUGUGUAGAGAGUAGGGUGCUGUUUCACCCUAGGUCUCUGUGUAGGGUGCCGUUUCACCCUAGGUCUCUGUGUAGGGAGCUGUUUCACCCUAGGUCUCUGUGUAGGGAGCUGUUUCACCCUAGGUCUCUGUGUAGGGAGUAGGGUGCCGUUUCACCCUAGGUCUCUGUGUAGGGUGCUGUUUCACCCUAGGUCUCUGUGUAGAGAGUAGGGUGCCGUUUCACCCUAGAUCUCUGUGUAGGGAGUAGGGAGCUGUUUCACCCUAGGUCUCUGUGUAGGGAGUAGGGUGCCGUUUCACCCUAGAUCUCUGUGUAGAGAGUAGGGUGCCGUUUCACCCUAGAUCUCUGUGUAGGGAGUAGGGUGCCGUUUCACCCUAGGUCUCUGUGUAGGGAGCUGUUUCACCCUAGGUCUCUGUGUAGGGUAGUAGGGUGCCGUUUCACCCUAGGUCUCUGUGUAGGGAGCUGUUUCACCCUAGGUCUCUGUGUAGAGAGUAGGGUGCCGUUUCACCCUAGGUCUCUGUGUAGAGAGUAGGGUGCCGUUUCACCCUAGGUCUCUGUGUAGGGAGUAGGGAGCUGUUUCACCCUAGGUCUCUGUGUAGAGAGUAGGGAGCUGUUUCACCCUAGGUCUCUGUGUAGAGAGUAGGGAGCUGUUUCACCCUAGGUCUCUGUGUAGGGAGCUGUUUCACCCUAGGUCUCUGUGUAGAGAGUAGGGAGCUGUUUCACCCUAGGUCUCUGUGUAGGGAGCUGUUUCACCCUAGGUCUCUGUGUAGAGAGUAGGGUGCCGUUUCACCCUAGGUCUCUGUGUAGGGUGCCGUUUCACCCUAGGUCUCUGUGUAGGGAGUAGGGUGCCGUUUCACCCUAGGUCUCUGUGUAGAGAGUAGGGAGGUGUUUCACCCUAGGUCUCUGUGUAGGGUAGUAGGGUGCCGUUUCACCCUAGAUCUCUGUGUAGGGAGUAGGGAGCUGUUUCACCCUAGAUCUCUGUGUAGAGAGUAGGGUGCCGUUUCACCCUAGGUCUCUGUGUAGGGAGCUGUUUCACCCUAGGUCUCUGUGUAGGGAGUAGGGUGCUGUUUCACCCUAGGUCUCUGUGUAGGGAGUAGGGAGCUGUUUCACCCUAGGUCUCUGUGUAGGAAGUAGGGUGCUGUUUCACCCUAGGUCUCUGUGUAGGGAGUAGGGAGCUGUUUCACCCUAGGUCUCUGUGUAGGGAGUAGGGUGCCGUUUCACCCUAGGUCUCUGUGUAGAGAGCUGUUUCACCCUAGGUCUCUGUGUAGGGAGCUGUUUCACCCUAGGUCUCUGUGUAGAGAGCUGUUUCACCCUAGGUCUCUGUGUAGAGAGCUGUUUCACCCUAGGUCUCUGUGUAGAGAGCUGUUUCACCCUAGGUCUCUGUGUAGAGAGCUGUUUCACCUUAGGUCUCUGUGUAGGGAGCUGUUUCACCCUAGGUCUCUGUGUAGAGAGCUGUUUCACCCUAGGUCUCUGUGUAGAGAGCUGUUUCACCCUAGGUCUCUGUGUAGAGAGCUGUUUCACCCUAGGUCUCUGUGUAGAGAGCUGUUUCAC